UCAGGUAGAUGGGCAGAAAAUUAAGAAAACGUACCAGUAUUAGCUUGUCCAGAGAAAAAAUAAUAGUAGUAUAUGUUUUCUAGUUUUACUCAUGCGAGCGGUAUCAAGUUGAAGCGACUAGCCUUUUCAAUUAUGUAGAGGCAGAGAAAAAGUAUUAGACGUACUUUUAUCGUUCUGAGGCAAAUUUUCUAAUCCCAACGCUUCCGUCUUAGUUUCUAAGUUUCGAAUCAUGAACGUAACUUAGUUAAAAGAUCAAGGAGGGAAUAGGGCAGGAAACAGUGCCAGGUAUGCCCGAGACAGUGGAAGUUCCAGGAAUCUGAAGAUACGUACUUUGUCAGAUCAUUCUAAUGAGUGACUCUGUCUCACAAACUUGAGCAGUAACCUGUAAACAGCCUCCUAAAAUGCACGCAAAUAGCAUCUUUAUAUGCAGGUAUGUUUGUAACUCUGUAUCAGACCUGUAAGAACUUUUUAACUUCAGUACAUCUGACUGUUUUUUGCAUUACCAUAACAGACGUUUGAUAGUAACAGGUAAUGAUUUGAUGGAGGUGGUGUUAUUUUUUGGCCAUCAAACUGAAGUGUGCGUGGACUGCAAAUUUUACAAGGCAUUAUUAUUCAUAUAUGGUCUAUUGAGACAUCUAGAAGAGUUAGAAUUUGGGAAAUUACUGUUAAGUUCCGUAGAGUAUUUCCCUUUUUGUUUUUUGGGAUUCCUCAUUUAUUACUUGGUUUUAUUUGUUCAUCUUCUGCUUUCUGGUAAUAAUCUCCUAUAAACA
Molecule: long non-coding RNA, 770 nt
Organism: Lycium barbarum (goji berry)
Lineage: Eukaryota; Viridiplantae; Streptophyta; Magnoliopsida; Solanales; Solanaceae
Exons: 3
Source: RefSeq, a predicted model, not a curated record